CGGGACACGUGGUAUCCUGUCUGAAUAUGGGGGGACCAUCCUCCAAGGCUAAAUACUCCUGACUGACCGAUAGUGAACCAGUACCGUGAGGGAAAGGCGAAAAGAACCCCGGCGAGGGGAGUGAAAAAGAACCUGAAACCGUGUACGUACAAGCAGUGGGAGCACGCUUAGGCGUGUGACUGCGUACCUUUUGUAUAAUGGGUCAGCGACUUAUAUUCUGUAGCAAGGUUAACCGAAUAGGGGAGCCGAAGGGAAACCGAGUCUUAACUGGGCGUUAAGUUGCAGGGUAUAGACCCGAAACCCGGUGAUCUAGCCAUGGGCAGGUUGAAGGUUGGGUAACACUAACUGGAGGACCGAACCGACUAAUGUUGAAAAAUUAGCGGAUGACUUGUGGCUGGGGGUGAAAGGCCAAUCAAACCGGGAGAUAGCUGGUUCUCCCCGAAAGCUAUUUAGGUAGCGCCUCGUGAAUUCAUCUCCGGGGGUAGAGCACUGUUUCGGCAAGGGGGUCAUCCCGACUUACCAACCCGAUGCAAACUGCGAAUACCGGAGAAUGUUAUCACGGGAGACACACGGCGGGUGCUAACGUCCGUCGUGAAGAGGGAAACAACCCAGACCGCCAGCUAAGGUCCCAAAGUCAUGGUUAAGUGGGAAACGAUGUGGGAAGGCCCAGACAGCCAGGAUGUUGGCUUAGAAGCAGCCAUCAUUUAAAGAAAGCGUAAUAGCUCACUGGUCGAGUCGGCCUGCGCGGAAGAUGUAACGGGGCUAAACCAUGCACCGAAGCUGCGGCAGCGACGCUGAUGCGUUGUUGGGUAGGGGAGCGUUCUGUAAGCCUGUGAAGGUGUGCUGUGAGGCAUGCUGGAGGUAUCAGAAGUGCGAAUGCUGACAUAAGUAACGAUAAAGCGGGUGAAAAGCCCGCUCGCCGGAAGACCAAGGGUUCCUGUCCAACGUUAAUCGGGGCAGGGUGAGUCGACCCCUAAGGCGAGGCCGAAAGGCGUAGUCGAUGGGAAACAGGUUAAUAUUCCUGUACUUGGUGUUACUGCGAAGGGGGGACGGAGAAGGCUAUGUUGGCCGGGCGACGGUUGUCCCGGUUUAAGCGUGUAGGCUGGUUUUCCAGGCAAAUCCGGAAAAUCAAGGCUGAGGCGUGAUGACGAGGCACUACGGUGCUGAAGCAACAAAUGCCCUGCUUCCAGGAAAAGCCUCUAAGCAUCAGGUAACAUCAAAUCGUACCCCAAACCGACACAGGUGGUCAGGUAGAGAAUACCAAGGCGCUUGAGAGAACUCGGGUGAAGGAACUAGGCAAAAUGGUGCCGUAACUUCGGGAGAAGGCACGCUGAUAUGUAGGUGAAGCGACUUGCUCGUGGAGCUGAAAUCAGUCGAAGAUACCAGCUGGCUGCAACUGUUUAUUAAAAACACAGCACUGUGCAAACACGAAAGUGGACGUAUACGGUGUGACGCCUGCCCGGUGCCGGAAGGUUAAUUGAUGGGGUCAGCGCAAGCGAAGCUCUUGAUCGAAGCCCCGGUAAACGGCGGCCGUAACUAUAACGGUCCUAAGGUAGCGAAAUUCCUUGUCGGGUAAGUUCCGACCUGCACGAAUGGCGUAAUGAUGGCCAGGCUGUCUCCACCCGAGACUCAGUGAAAUUGAACUCGCUGUGAAGAUGCAGUGUACCCGCGGCAAGACGGAAAGACCCCGUGAACCUUUACUAUAGCUUGACACUGAACAUUGAGCCUUGAUGUGUAGGAUAGGUGGGAGGCUUUGAAGUGUGGACGCCAGUCUGCAUGGAGCCGGCCUUGAAAUACCACCCUUUAAUGUUUGAUGUUCUAACGUUGACCCGUGAUCCGGGUUGCGGACAGUGUCUGGUGGGUAGUUUGACUGGGGCGGUCUCCUCCUAAAGAGUAACGGAGGAGCACGAAGGUUGGCUAAUCCUGGUCGGACAUCAGGAGGUUAGUGCAAUGGCAUAAGCCAGCUUGACUGCGAGCGUGACGGCGCGAGCAGGUGCGAAAGCAGGUCAUAGUGAUCCGGUGGUUCUGAAUGGAAGGGCCAUCGCUCAACGGAUAA
This 2056-nucleotide ribosomal RNA is filed under the name Escherichia coli. Its description in RNAcentral is "partial 23S ribosomal RNA". It matches the Rfam family "Bacterial large subunit ribosomal RNA", at positions 418 to 2459 of the family's 2925-position model. The record is from RNAcentral. Lineage: Bacteria; Pseudomonadati; Pseudomonadota; Gammaproteobacteria; Enterobacterales; Enterobacteriaceae.